Molecule: long non-coding RNA, 655 nt
Organism: Chiroxiphia lanceolata (lance-tailed manakin)
Lineage: Eukaryota; Metazoa; Chordata; Aves; Passeriformes; Pipridae
Exons: 3
Source: RefSeq, a predicted model, not a curated record
UCUCUGCCUCUUUGCCUUUGGUCUCUGCUUGCCCUCUGUGCCACGUUUGCCCUCUGCUCUCUUUGUCCUCUCCCCAUCCCUGCUGUAUCUCCCUUUUUGCUCUCUAGGUCUCCUGGCUCUCUCUUCAGUUUGUUUGCCUCUCUUCCCCCCUUGCCCUUGUCUCUUGCCAUCAAUAAAUGAACUCUGUGGCCAAAGGAUGAUGAGGAACGUGGAUGUGCCUGUACCUGAGGUAGCUGACUCUGUUGCCCAAGGGCCUGUGUGUUUGCAGAGGUUGCCCACUCUCUGUCUGGGGUGGGACAACCCACGGAGCUGAUGAUGGAGAGGAUCUCCUGGGCACUGGAGGCAGCUGAGUGGUGCUGGCUGGCCCUUGGUGGGGAUGGUUGGUAAGCAGGUUUUUAACAGGUGUCCAAGCAGUGGUGAUGAGCGGAGCACCUGUCUGUGGGGAUUGCACUGACCUGGCCAAGCCUCUUAUUGUUCCUUAAUCCUUAAGGAGACAUAAAAAUAAAGUUGAAUCAACAGCAUUUUGAAGCUGAUUUAAAUAGUGGAAGGAGCUGAAAUUGUCUGGGCCAAGGUCCCAUUUCAACCUUUCUCUUGUAUGGAACAUUAAUGGGUAGGAGAUUCUUUGUAGGAUGCAUUGAAACACUUAUGUAUAUAU